GCCUAAGUGGUGUAGAGGCAUCAUGUGAGGUCCCCGAUUGUGUGACCCAGGUUCAAGUCCUGGCUCAUGCC
Molecule: non-coding RNA, 71 nt
Organism: Phrynosoma platyrhinos (Desert horned lizard)
Lineage: Eukaryota; Metazoa; Chordata; Lepidosauria; Squamata; Phrynosomatidae
Source: the annotation of a GenBank genome assembly